AGGCCAUAGUGUGGACAAGCUCUUCAUAGUUCAUUAUAUCUUUCCCAAGCUUCAAAAAGUGAUUCACCCUGAUUUUGAGUGAAUUUGGUAAUUUGGUUUCGAAGGAC
Lathyrus oleraceus (garden pea) is the source of this 107-nucleotide small nucleolar RNA. The record is from RefSeq and is a predicted model, not a curated record. NCBI's taxonomy places the organism in Eukaryota, Viridiplantae, Streptophyta, Magnoliopsida, Fabales, Fabaceae.